UACGUAGGGCGCAAGCGUUGUCCGGAAUUAUUGGGCGUAAAGAGCUCGUAGGCGGCUUGUCACGUCGAUUGUGAAAGCCCGAGGCUUAACCUCGGGUCUGCAGUCGAUACGGGCUAGCUAGAGUGUGGUAGGGGAGAUCGGAAUUCCUGGUGUAGCGGUGAAAUGCGUAGAUAUCUGGAGGAACACCGGUGGCGAAGGCGGCAUCCUGGACCGGCAUUGACGCUGAGGCGCGAAAGCCAGGGGAGCAAACGGG
Molecule: ribosomal RNA, 253 nt
Filed under: uncultured bacterium
Lineage: Bacteria
Description: partial 16S ribosomal RNA
Rfam family: Bacterial small subunit ribosomal RNA
Source: RNAcentral